This 486-nucleotide ribosomal RNA is filed under the name uncultured bacterium. RNAcentral's name for it is "partial 16S ribosomal RNA". It matches the Rfam family "Bacterial small subunit ribosomal RNA", at positions 30 to 507 of the family's 1533-position model. The record is from RNAcentral.
AUUGAACGCUGGCGGCAUGCCUUACACAUGCAAGUCGAACGGCAGCACGGGUGCUUGCACCUGGUGGCGAGUGGCGAACGGGUGAGUAAUACAUCGGAACAUGUCCUGUAGUGGGGGAUAGCCCGGCGAAAGCCGGAUUAAUACCGCAUACGAUCUACGGAUGAAAGCGGGGGACCUUCGGGCCUCGCGCUAUCGGGUUGGCCGAUGGCUGAUUAGCUAGUUGGUGGGGUAAAGGCCUACCAAGGCGACGAUCAGUAGCUGGUCUGAGAGGACGACCAGCCACACUGGGACUGAGACACGGCCCAGACUCCUACGGGAGGCAGCAGUGGGGAAUUUUGGACAAUGGGCGAAAGCCUGAUCCAGCAAUGCCGCGUGUGUGAAGAAGGCCUUCGGGUUGUAUAGCACUUCUGUCCGGAAAGAAAUCCUUGGCCCUAAUACGGUCGGGGGAUGACGGUACCGGAAGAAUAAGCACCGGCUAACUACGUG